UUCGCAAAAAAAAUUUACAAAUAUUUUUUUGCAAGAAAAUUUGCAAAUAAUUUCUGUAAAUAAUUUUUUACAGAAAAAUUUGCAAGAAAAU
Molecule: microRNA precursor, 91 nt
Filed under: Cajanus cajan (pigeon pea)
Lineage: Eukaryota; Viridiplantae; Streptophyta; Magnoliopsida; Fabales; Fabaceae
Description: miRNA gene-KK1_049032
Source: RNAcentral